AUCCAACUGACGAGUCCGAAAUGGGACGAGACGUGCGUCAAACUGGAU
Molecule: non-coding RNA, 48 nt
Organism: Schistosoma mansoni
Lineage: Eukaryota; Metazoa; Platyhelminthes; Trematoda; Strigeidida; Schistosomatidae
Source: Rfam